Molecule: non-coding RNA, 366 nt
Organism: Mus pahari (shrew mouse)
Lineage: Eukaryota; Metazoa; Chordata; Mammalia; Rodentia; Muridae
Source: the annotation of a RefSeq genome assembly
AUGGAGACAGACACACUCCUGCUAUGGGUGCUGCUGCUCUGGGUUCCAGGCUCCAUUGGUGACAUUGUGCUGACCCAGUCUCCUGCUUCCUUAGCUGUGUCUCUGGGGAAGAGGGCCACCAUCUCCUGCAGAGCCAGCAAAAGUGUGGGUAUAUAUAUGCACUGGUACCAACAGAAACCAGGACAGCCACCCAAACUACUCAUCUAUNNUGCAUCCAACCUNGAAUCUGGGGUCCCUGCCAGGUUCAGUGGCAGUGGGUCUGGGACAGACUUCANCCUCAAUAUUGAUCCUGUGGAGGCUGGUGAUACUGCCACCUAUUACUGUCAGCAAAGUAAUGAGUAUCUUCCCACAGUGCUCCAGGGCUGA